UUACAGUGGGUGGACACACGU
RNAcentral lists this non-coding RNA (21 nucleotides) under Arabidopsis thaliana (thale cress). Lineage: Eukaryota; Viridiplantae; Streptophyta; Magnoliopsida; Brassicales; Brassicaceae. The record is from RNAcentral.